RNAcentral lists this ribosomal RNA (253 nucleotides) under uncultured bacterium. RNAcentral describes it as "partial 16S ribosomal RNA". It matches the Rfam family "Bacterial small subunit ribosomal RNA", at positions 524 to 776 of the family's 1533-position model. The record is from RNAcentral.
UACGAAGGGGGCUAGCGUUGCUCGGAAUGACUGGGCGUAAAGGGCGCGUAGGCGGAUGGCACAGUCAGAUGUGAAAUUCCCGGGCUUAACCUGGGGGCUGCAUUUGAUACGUGUUGUCUAGAGUGAGGAAGAGGGUUGUGGAAUUCCCAGUGUAGAGGUGAAAUUCGUAGAUAUUCGCAGGAACACCAGUGGCGAAGGCGGCUCACUGGUCCGGUACUGACGCUGAGGUGCGAAAGCGUGGGGAGCAAACAGG